CUUAUCAUUUAGAGGAAGGAGAAGUUGUAACAAGGUUUCCGAUAGGUGAACCUGCGGAAGGAUCAUUGUCGAA
This 73-nucleotide ribosomal RNA is filed under the name Syngonanthus laricifolius. Its description in RNAcentral is "partial 18S ribosomal RNA". It matches the Rfam family "Eukaryotic small subunit ribosomal RNA", at positions 1765 to 1831 of the family's 1831-position model. The record is from RNAcentral. Lineage: Eukaryota; Viridiplantae; Streptophyta; Magnoliopsida; Poales; Eriocaulaceae.